GCCGGCGUAGCUCAGUUGGUAGAGCAGCGCAUUCGUAAUGCGCGGGUCGGGAGUUCGAGUCUCUUCGCCGGCA
Molecule: transfer RNA, 73 nt
Filed under: Paramagnetospirillum marisnigri
Lineage: Bacteria; Pseudomonadati; Pseudomonadota; Alphaproteobacteria; Rhodospirillales; Magnetospirillaceae
Description: Magnetospirillum marisnigri tRNA
Rfam family: tRNA
About the family: Transfer RNA (tRNA) molecules are approximately 80 nucleotides in length. Their secondary structure includes four short double-helical elements and three loops (D, anti-codon, and T loops).
Source: Rfam by way of RNAcentral